RNAcentral lists this ribosomal RNA (497 nucleotides) under uncultured bacterium. RNAcentral describes it as "partial 16S ribosomal RNA". It matches the Rfam family "Bacterial small subunit ribosomal RNA", at positions 28 to 507 of the family's 1533-position model. The record is from RNAcentral.
GACGAACGCUGGCGGCGUGCCUAAUACAUGCAAGUAGAACGCUGAAGCGAGGAGCUUGCUCUUCUUGGAUGAGUUGCGAACGGGUGAGUAACGCGUAGGCAACCUGCCUUGUAGCGGGGGAUAACUAUUGGAAACGAUAGCUAAUACCGCAUAACAAUGGAUGACACAUGUCAUUUAUUUGAAAGGGGCAAUUGCUCCACUACAAGAUGGACCUGCGUUGUAUUAGCUAGUAGGUGAGGUAAUGGCUCACCUAGGCGACGAUACAUAGCCGACCUGAGAGGGUGAUCGGCCACACUGGGACUGAGACACGGCCCAGACUCCUACGGGAGGCAGCAGUAGGGAAUCUUCGGCAAUGGGGGCAACCCUGACCGAGCAACGCCGCGUGAGUGAAGAAGGUUUUCGGAUCGUAAAGCUCUGUUGUAAGUCAAGAACGGGUGUGAGAGUGGAAAGUUCACACUGUGACGGUAGCUUACCAGAAAGGGACGGCUAACUACGUG